Molecule: long non-coding RNA, 758 nt
Organism: Rhododendron vialii
Lineage: Eukaryota; Viridiplantae; Streptophyta; Magnoliopsida; Ericales; Ericaceae
Exons: 2
Source: RefSeq, a predicted model, not a curated record
AAAAAAAAAAAAACAUUCGGGAGAGAGAAAGAAGGUGCAGAGAGAAGGAAACGAGGAAGAGGGCAUUAGCACUAACGGAACUUCUAAUCUUAAUAGGUUCGGAAGCGGCAACGAGCACCGUUCCUCCACGUAGGGAGUGAGCUCGUGUUGGUACUUUUUUUUGGCUGGGCCUCGAGGUGGGUGUUCUUAUUUUUAAUAGCAGAAGAUGAGACACUAUGUAGAGUUAUUUUUUGUAUUGAAAUGGUUAACUUUUGGCUUGAGCUUUUAAGCGAGAAUAUGAUCGUAGCCUUAGUGGCAUUAUAAUAUGGCCUUAGUGGCGUUAUUGAAUAUUGCCUUAGUGGCGUGGAUAAAUAUUGCCUUAGUAGCGUGACGACUCUUGCCUUAGUGGCGUAAAGAAUAUUACCUUAGUGGCGUGAAUAUGGGAAUUGCCUUAGUAGCGUUAUGAGUAUUACGUAAUGGAACAUUAUUGUGGGGCUGAAUAUUCUUGUUUAAAUUGUUUGAUAGCACUUGUCUUUAUUGCUUCUCUUAUUACGGAUAAGAACAUUUACUGAGCAAGUUGAUAGCUCACACCCCCACAGUGUUUUCUUUUCAGAGUUGUCCACUGCAAAGUCUAGACAUGAGUUGUUGAUAUAGUAGUCUAGUUUUUUUUUACUCUUUUGAUUAUGUGCCUAUUUUUGGAGCUUGUAUAUGUUGUAAAUAUCUGUGGGCACGUCUUGUAUGAAAGUUAUUUCCAUAUAUAUGCAAGUUAAGUUUAAGUU